CAGGAGCAAUAGAUAUCCUGUGAAGCCAGCGAAGAAGAUACGGAGGAGGUGGAAAAUCCGUUUCCUGGAGAAAGUGCGAAAAUGACACAGGAUAAACGUCGCGAUUGUUUCGGAAUAUGGAGAGGACCUUGUUUGUGACCAAAAAAAUUUCAAGUUGUCCGCACGUAUCCAGCGUGCUAGAGGAAAGAGAUGCCGAGGACUCUAAGCCAAGGGUUCCGUUAUGUUGGCUAGCCUCUGCCAACCGUCUGAAAGGAGUGGGAAAAGGGCCAUCCCCAAGGAAAGGGGGGAAACGGGGAGGAGGGCUGGGCUUCUAAUGGCAAAAUCUGGACCAACCCGGCGAGGUCAAAGGCCUCAGACCACGGGAGUGUAAAGUAAUGAUGAUGAUGUCAUGAAAAAUCACAAAUGCACGCUGAUAUUCAUGCACGAGCAAGUGGCAAAUCUCCUCGCGUCAUUACCAAGGCACCGGAAUAAUAGCGUUUUCCGCUAGCGGUCUGCAUGCGUUUUGUGGAAUGACAAAAAAAAGGACGGAAAUACAAAAUGAUUGUGCUAUGGUAUGAGCACGAUCAUCUUGAUACAUUUUUAAGCCAGUAAGGGUAUAAUAGCCAGCAGUUUAAACCACAAAAUAAAAGAGCUCAAAUCAAUGGAGGACAUAUGGCAGCAUUCCAGGGCUGAGUAGAGCAUUGUCCUGUAUUUUCGUCGCUGCUGGUACCGAGUAGGGUCUUUGCUGUAGCAUGGAACUGGGCCAGGUUGAUCGAAUAUACGGGUGUGAGAGAGAAUGCGAGUCAAGCCACUUUAAUUGACUCGAUUUGAGUCGAAAUCCUAUUGGCUUCAUGUGUUUUUUCAUCGUCGUGACCGAUGUAAAAGCUACAAUGGUUUCCAGGUUGAUAGGUAAAGGGUGAAAUAGUACAUUAUUAAGCUACACCAGGAAAAUUGAUGGUUGGCCUAUACCAUUCUACAACCAUUCCACAACCAUUAUAGCUACAACCAUUCUCAUUGUAAGACGAACAUGAUGAAGUACCUUCAAUACAUGUUUUUUCUUCUUCUUCGAAUUAACCGCUCACGUUGUCUGUGAUUUUUAGUACUCUGUGACCGUUGUUCCAUUGAGUUUGAUGGGGGAAUUAUUUUCAGUCUUCCCGAAAUGUGGAUAAUGCAUUUUUUGUUGUUGCAUAUGCUCAGAAUAAAUGUAUGUUUACUAGAAAAAUGUAUCACUGAAUGUGAAGUGAAAUAAACCUUAGCUGUAAAUGUCAAAUAAAAGUCUGCCAUUUGAGUUCCCAUGACUCAAUGCCAUGAUUUCGUAACCUUACUACGUUACAGUUGGAAGAAAUAAAGCAAGAAACGCC
Molecule: long non-coding RNA, 1340 nt
Filed under: Salmo salar (Atlantic salmon)
Lineage: Eukaryota; Metazoa; Chordata; Actinopteri; Salmoniformes; Salmonidae
Description: lncRNA (ENSSSAG00000092796.1)
Source: RNAcentral